RNAcentral lists this long non-coding RNA (1022 nucleotides) under Sarcophilus harrisii (Tasmanian devil). RNAcentral describes it as "lncRNA (ENSSHAG00000031199.1)". The record is from RNAcentral. Lineage: Eukaryota; Metazoa; Chordata; Mammalia; Dasyuromorphia; Dasyuridae.
AUUUGUGUUUACAGUGUAUUUGCGCAGAGGGAAAGACAAUUUUGUCAAAUAGAAUUCUUUAUCAACUGAUGAUCUUCCUGGUCCCUCUGCAGUCAGGCUUAGGAGACGCAAAGACAAGUCCCGACAUUUCUGCCACCUCCUGCUCAGGCGCUUCCCCCCGCCCCCCGUUCUGGCGCGUUUUACAGAGAAGGGGCUCUGCAGCACUUGGAAGUCCCCGGGAUGGAGCGAGCUGAAUGGGAUAACUGUCAGGAAGCACUUUUAUCCCUUUCCGUUUGGGACUUUGGACACCACGCAAGGGCUCCGGACCAGAAGAGACCGGCGGGACAUAUAGACCAAAUGCAAUUGACUUCGAGCAGAGAGAAAUAGAGCUUUCCAAGACCCUAAAUUCCAGCCCCGCCCCGUUCCGAGUUUUUUUGCCGCGCUUCCGCCGUUUGCUCCGCCCAACUCUGCCCUAGCUCCACCUCCUCCCGCCGCGAUUGGUUGCGCACCCAAAAUCCCGCCUCCAGCUAGAUAAGUCCCGCUGAUUAAAAAAAAAAAGUCUCCAAGCUCCUCCCCAAUUGCGUGAGGCCCCGCCCUCCCGCGCAGCUUUGCUGAGCACAAGUCACUCCUCAGUCCCCCUAAGCUCAUCCCGUGUUUCCUUGGCCCUGAGACCCGAUCCUCCGGCUCCGCCUCCUCCGGCUUGGUUUUCCUUUGUUACAGUCCGCUAGGCUUCGCUAGGGGUCUCCGGGCCCAGCUCCUCCCACAGUCCCUAUCGCUGCUCGCGCAGCUAAUGCCCCGGGGGUCUCAGGCAGACAGAGAAGGGCCACGGAGGGGGCUCACACAGGGGUAGAGGGCGCGGCGGGGGGUGGGGAAGAGAGGGAACCGGGGCCGUAAACCUUGGGGAAGGUCCCCUGAUGGAGAGACCCAGACCACAGACCCGAUCUAGCAAUCUUUCUAUCCUCCUUAAGCAGGCGCCGCCGCCAUUUUGCGACAGAUUGAGCACGGGGUCCCGCAGCCGACCUCAGGGGGGUGCUCGGGUGUAG